GCUUCAUGCCCCACUUCACAAGGCACACCUGGGGAAUAGGUUGGUUCCCUUGAAUACCUUGUAUUUCAAGUUGCAACAGGGGGAACAGUUCUGAUUACUAUUCUUCGCAGCUCCUUACAACCCAGAAGUGAAUGUGCAAGGGAUGGAGCAGCAAGAGCUGGAAAACAAGAGAAGUGAUGCCUGCCAACUUUUGGAAUCUUAGAUGAAUAAUCACUCAGAUGACCAAUAUUGGUAAAAAGUGACUAAAUGCAAUUGGAUCAGUGUGGCAGCAACUGUGGACAUUACAAAAUCUAUUAAUUCAGUCAUUGCUCUGAAUGAUACCAAAUCAAGUGCUCAAGGACUACAGCUUUGGACUCUGUUUGAGACCUGACCUGCAAAAAAUUAAAAAUAUCUCUUGAAAACCAGUCAGAUGCUCAGCUCUUUGCGCAAAUCCUCAGAACAAGGAAAUGAUGUCAUCUCUCAGCAAGAUAGAGAUACGAAUGGCAUUUGUUUUUGUGAUUGUCAUUAUGCUGUUUCUAUUGCGGGAGAAUAUCCCCCACCAUUAUUUCAUUAUUAUUAUUAAACUUAUUAAAUAAAUGUAUAUAGCUGCCCAACUCACAGACAGUGAUUCCAGGAAGUGUCCACAUUAAAAGCCCAUAGUUAAAAAUUCACAAUUUAAUACUCAUUCAUCCCCACUCAAUGGUGGUGACAACAGAAUCAAACAAGCCACAUUAUCAGCUUUGGAUGGGCUCCCCAGGCCCACUGACAAAACCAUGUCUUCAAGGCUUUGCAAAAAAGCAACAAGAUGGGGACCAAUUAUAUUUCUAGGGGAAUGAUGUUCCACAGGGAGGGAACCAUCACAGAGAAGGCCCUUUUCCUAGGUGCCCCCCAGAUGUAAUUCUUUGGUGUUGGGACCAACAAUAUGUCUUGCCUUCCUGCUCUGGUGGGCCAGGUAUGUGUAAUUGGGGAAAGGCAGUCAUUAGGCAGUCCCCUGACCUACAAUGUGUGAUAGCACAAAUAUCUUCAGAAAACAUAAAUUCAGGACAGAAGCAAAUGGCACAACCCAUAAUAGGGGCCCUUCUUUUGGGUGAUCUUUUGGUAGCACCAAAAUUCUAAGCUGAUAAAGCACCAUUCAGUAUAUCAGUGGGCUUUUUCCCAGUGGUAACAUCCUGGUUCAUCCCAUGAAGCAACAUAUUAUAAAGCAGCUAGAA
Molecule: long non-coding RNA, 1190 nt
Organism: Crotalus tigris (Tiger rattlesnake)
Lineage: Eukaryota; Metazoa; Chordata; Lepidosauria; Squamata; Viperidae
Exons: 4
Source: RefSeq, a predicted model, not a curated record